RNAcentral lists this ribosomal RNA (267 nucleotides) under Triticum aestivum (bread wheat). RNAcentral's name for it is "partial small subunit ribosomal RNA". The record is from RNAcentral. Lineage: Eukaryota; Viridiplantae; Streptophyta; Magnoliopsida; Poales; Poaceae.
AUGUCUGCUAUGGAGAUUUUCGGGCAUGUCAGAGAAGUUGAUUGUUAUCCUAAUAUAUGUGUUUUCUAUCACAUCUUAUUUACUGUGCUUGUGAUGGUCGGAUCAGCCGAAAGAAGCUUUUCAAAGCAAUUAUUGAAGAAUUAUUUGAGGUCAACAAUGACUCAAGUGAUGUUAAAUGGUUUGGCAAGAUUGUCCAUCGAGAAGAAAUUAUUGGAUGGGAUUGACAUCGACCCCAUCAUAUGUGAAUUUGCAUCAAGGAAUGUUUGA